UCCGGAGGGCGCAAUCGUUGUUCGGAAUCAUUGGGCGUAAAGCGCGUGUAGGCGGUCUGGUCAGUCGGGUGUGAAAUACCGGAGCUCAACUCCGGAACUGCAUUCGAUACUGCCAGGCUAGAGUCCCGGAGAGGGUGGUGGAAUUCCCGGUGUAGAGGUGAAAUUCGUAGAUAUCGGGAGGAACACCAGCGGCGAAGGCGGCCACCUGGACGGUGACUGACACUGAGACGCGAAAGCGUGGGGAGCACACGGG
This 253-nucleotide ribosomal RNA is filed under the name uncultured bacterium. Its description in RNAcentral is "partial 16S ribosomal RNA". It matches the Rfam family "Bacterial small subunit ribosomal RNA", at positions 524 to 776 of the family's 1533-position model. The record is from RNAcentral.